UGGCGGACGGGUGAGUAACGCGUGGGGAACCUGCCCUGUACCGGGGGAUAGCAGCCGGAAACGGCUGAUAAUACCGCAUAAGCGCACGAAUGUCGCAUGACAUGGUGUGAAAAAACUCCGGUGGUAUAGGAUGGACCCGCGUCUGAUUAGCCGGUUGGUGGGGUAAAAGCCUACCAAAGCGAAGAUCAGUAGCCGAGUUGAGAGACUGACCGGCCACAUUGGGACUGAGACACGGCCCAGACUCCUACGGGAGGCAGCAGCC
This 262-nucleotide ribosomal RNA is filed under the name uncultured bacterium. Its description in RNAcentral is "partial 16S ribosomal RNA". It matches the Rfam family "Bacterial small subunit ribosomal RNA", at positions 96 to 355 of the family's 1533-position model. The record is from RNAcentral.